AUCAGUUAUGGUUCCUUAGAUCGUACCACAAUUACUUGGAUAACUGUGGUAAUUCUAGAGCUAAUACAUGCAAACAGAGCUCUGACCGGAGACGGGAGGAGUGCUUUUAUUAGAUCAAAACCAAUCGGCGGCGGUAGCGUUUCGGCGUUAUCGUUCGUCGCUCAAUAAAUGGUGAAUCUGAAUAACUUUAUGCUGAUCGCAUGGUCUUGUACCGGCGACGCAUCUUUCAAAUGUCUGCCUUAUCAACUGUCGAUGGUAGGAUCUGCGCCUACCAUGGUUGUAACGGGUAACGGGGAAUCAGGGUUCGAUUCCGGAGAGGGAGCCUGAGAAACGGCUACCACAUCCAAGGAAGGCAGCAGGCGCGCAAAUUACCCACUCCCGGCACGGGGAGGUAGUGACGAAAAAUAACGAUACGGGACUCAUCCGAGGCCCCGUAAUCGGAAUGAGUACACUUUAAAUCCUUUAACAAGGACCAAUUGGAGGGCAAGUCUGGUGCCAGCAGCCGCGGUAAUUCCAGCUCCAAUAGCGUAUAUUAAAGUUGUUGCGGUUAAAAAGCUCGUAGUUGAAUUUGUGUCCCGCACUGUCGGUUCACCGCCCGCGGUGCUAACUGGCAUGUUUGCGGGACGUCCUGCCGGUGGAUGUAAGUGGGAGACUCGAAAGGGUCUUUCGCACAUCCGACUUAUGAAUCCUGUCGCGGUGCUCUUAACUGAGUGUCAUGGCGGGCCGGCACGUUUACUUUGAACAAAUUAGAGUGCUCAAAGCAGGCUAAUUAAUGCCUGAAUAAUUAGUGCAUGGAAUAAUGGAACAGGACCUUGGUUCUAUUUUGUUGGUUUUCGGAACCCCAAGGUAAUGAUUAAUAGGGACAGAUGGGGGCAUUCGUAUUGCGACGUUAGAGGUGAAAUUCUUGGAUCGUCGCAAGACGGACUAAAGCGAAAGCAUUUGCCAAAGAUGUUUUCAUUAAUCAAGAACGAAAGUCAGAGGUUCGAAGGCGAUCAGAUACCGCCCUAGUUCUGACCAUAAACGAUGCCAGCUAGCGAUCCGCCAAAGUUCCUCCGAUGACUUGGCGGGCAGCUUCCGGGAAACCAAAGCUUUUGGGUUCCGGGGGAAGUAUGGUUGCAAAGCUGAAACUUAAAGGAAUUGACGGAAGGGCACCACCAGGAGUGGAGCCUGCGGCUUAAUUUGACUCAACACGGGAAACCUCACCAGGCCCAGACACUGGAAGGAUUGACAGAUUGAGAGCUCUUUCUUGAUUCAGUGGGUGGUGGUGCAUGGCCGUUCUUAG
This 1282-nucleotide ribosomal RNA is filed under the name Zabrus seidlitzi. RNAcentral describes it as "SSU rRNA". It matches the Rfam family "Eukaryotic small subunit ribosomal RNA", at positions 105 to 1297 of the family's 1831-position model. The record is from RNAcentral. Lineage: Eukaryota; Metazoa; Arthropoda; Insecta; Coleoptera; Carabidae.